UCUGAGAGAAGAUGGAUGAGAAGAUGGAUGGAGUUGCGGUCGCCGGUCAAGCAGUUCAAAGAUGGUGGUUGUUACGGUUGCCGGUCGCUAACAAGAAGACGGAAGGACGACGACAGAACAACAACGAGAAUAUGGAAGGACGACGGUGGCAGUAGAGGAAGGAUUCAAAAGGUCAACCAUCCAAGUGAAAGUAUAAAUUAAAAAAGAGCAAUGCCUCAAAGCUUCAAAAAUCCAUCAUCAGUGAAAGUUUGCAGAAGACCAUUUAUUUUCAAAGCACAUACAAUGAGCUCUACCUGUAACUGAUGCUGGAGGCUCUGACCAACUUAAGCAUGGCAAUUUGUUGUCAAACGAAGCCAAUAAGGGAUGAUAAACUGCCAUACGGAAGAAAAAAGAUACAUUUAUGUACAUGAAAAACAUACGCUUAAUGGGAGAUGUUAAGAGGAUCAUGAUAUUUGAUUAUCUUUAUAUUAACUAUACAUACUGAUUUGUAUGUGCUUUGUGUAUAUCCUUAGAAUCUAUUGUUUCCUUACUGUUUCCUUGCACUAGAAUAUGAUG
Long non-coding RNA from Diospyros lotus (date-plum), 555 nucleotides. RefSeq lists it as uncharacterized. The record is from RefSeq and is a predicted model, not a curated record. Lineage: Eukaryota; Viridiplantae; Streptophyta; Magnoliopsida; Ericales; Ebenaceae. The transcript has 3 exons.